UAUUCUUUAUAGCUUGCUAUGAUAAAAAUUAGUGGCAGACGGGUGAGUAAUGCAUAGGAAUCUACCUAGUAGUAUGGGAUAGCCACUGGAAAUGGUGGGUAAUACUGUAUAAUCCCUGCGGGGGAAAGAUUUAUCGCUAUUAGAUGAGCCUAUGUUAGAUUAGCUAGUUGGUAGGGUAAAGGCCUACCAAGGCAGUGAUCUAUAGCUGGUCUGAGAGGAUGAUCAGCCACACUGGAACUGAGAUACGGUCCAGACUCCUACGGGAGGCAGCAGUGGGGAAUAUUGGACAAUGGGCGCAAGCCUGAUCCAGCUAUGCCGCGAGAGUGAGAAAGGCCU
RNAcentral lists this ribosomal RNA (336 nucleotides) under Anaplasma phagocytophilum. RNAcentral's name for it is "bacterial SSU rRNA". It matches the Rfam family "Bacterial small subunit ribosomal RNA", at positions 68 to 417 of the family's 1533-position model. Lineage: Bacteria; Pseudomonadati; Pseudomonadota; Alphaproteobacteria; Rickettsiales; Anaplasmataceae. The record is from RNAcentral.